Molecule: transfer RNA, 69 nt
Filed under: Ictidomys tridecemlineatus (thirteen-lined ground squirrel)
Lineage: Eukaryota; Metazoa; Chordata; Mammalia; Rodentia; Sciuridae
Description: Spermophilus tridecemlineatus (thirteen-lined ground squirrel) tRNA
Rfam family: tRNA
About the family: Transfer RNA (tRNA) molecules are approximately 80 nucleotides in length.
Source: Rfam by way of RNAcentral
GGGGUUCUGGCUCAGUGGCAGAGCACUUGCCUAGCAUGCAUGAGGCACUGAGCUCGAUUCUGAGCACCA